GUACACUCCUACGGGAGGCAGCAGUGGGGAAUUUUGGACAAUGGGCGAAAGCCUGAUCCAGCCAUGCCGCGUGCAGGAUGAAGGCCUUCGGGUUGUAAACUGCUUUUGUACGGAACGAAACGGCCUUUUCUAAUAAAGAGGGCUAAUGACGGUACCGUAAGAAUAAGCACCGGCUAACUACGUGCCAGCAGCCGCGGUAAUACGUAGGGUGCAAGCGUUAAUCGGAAUUACUGGGCGUAAAGCGUGCGCAGGCGGUUAUGUAAGACAGUUGUGAAAUCCCCGGGCUCAACCUGGGAACUGCAUCUGUGACUGCAUAGCUAGAGUACGGUAGAGGGGGAUGGAAUUCCGCGUGUAGCAGUGAAAUGCGUAGAUAUGCGGAGGAACACCGAUGGCGAAGGCAAUCCCCUGGACCUGUACUGACGCUCAUGCACGAAAGCGUGGGGAGCAAACAGGAUUAGAAACCCGGGUAGUCCCAUGA
RNAcentral lists this ribosomal RNA (478 nucleotides) under uncultured organism. RNAcentral's name for it is "partial 16S ribosomal RNA". It matches the Rfam family "Bacterial small subunit ribosomal RNA", at positions 331 to 800 of the family's 1533-position model. The record is from RNAcentral.